AAAAUGCACAUGCUGUGAGCUCGAUGAGUAGGGCGGGACACGUGGUAUCCUGUCUGAAUAUGGGGGGACCAUCCUCCAAGGCUAAAUACUCCUGACUGACCGAUAGUGAACCAGUACCGUGAGGGAAAGGCGAAAAGAACCCCGGCGAGGGGAGUGAAAAAGAACCUGAAACCGUGUACGUACAAGCAGUGGGAGCACAGAGCAAUCUGUGUGACUGCGUACCUUUUGUAUAAUGGGUCAGCGACUUAUAUUCUGUAGCAAGGUUAACCGAAUAGGGGAGCCGAAGGGAAACCGAGUCUUAACUGGGCGUUAAGUUGCAGGGUAUAGACCCGAAACCCGGUGAUCUAGCCAUGGGCAGGUUGAAGGUUGGGUAACACUAACUGGAGGACCGAACCGACUAAUGUUGAAAAAUUAGCGGAUGACUUGUGGCUGGGGGUGAAAGGCCAAUCAAACCGGGAGAUAGCUGGUUCUCCCCGAAAGCUAUUUAGGUAGCGCCUCGUGAAUUCAUCUCCGGGGGUAGAGCACUGUUUCGGCAAGGGGGUCAUCCCGACUUACCAACCCGAUGCAAACUGCGAAUACCGGAGAAUGUUAUCACGGGAGACACACGGCGGGUGCUAACGUCCGUCGUGAAGAGGGAAACAACCCAGACCGCCAGCUAAGGUCCCAAAGUCAUGGUUAAGUGGGAAACGAUGUGGGAAGGCCCAGACAGCCAGGAUGUUGGCUUAGAAGCAGCCAUCAUUUAAAGAAAGCGUAAUAGCUCACUGGUCGAGUCGGCCUGCGCGGAAGAUGUAACGGGGCUAAACCAUGCACCGAAGCUGCGGCAGCGACACUGUGUGUUGUUGGGUAGGGGAGCGUUCUGUAAGCCUGUGAAGGUGUACUGUGAGG
This 885-nucleotide ribosomal RNA is filed under the name Escherichia coli. RNAcentral's name for it is "partial 23S ribosomal RNA". It matches the Rfam family "Bacterial large subunit ribosomal RNA", at positions 382 to 1268 of the family's 2925-position model. The record is from RNAcentral. Lineage: Bacteria; Pseudomonadati; Pseudomonadota; Gammaproteobacteria; Enterobacterales; Enterobacteriaceae.